This 388-nucleotide ribosomal RNA is filed under the name uncultured bacterium. RNAcentral's name for it is "bacterial SSU rRNA". It matches the Rfam family "Bacterial small subunit ribosomal RNA", at positions 29 to 402 of the family's 1533-position model. The record is from RNAcentral.
AACGAACGCUGGCGGCGUGGAUAAGACAUGCAAGUCGAACGGGACUAAAUCUGUAGCAAUACAGGUUUAGUUUAGUGGCGAACGGGUGCGUAACACGUGGGCAAUCUGCCGAGAAGUGGGGGAUAGCUCGCCGAAAGGCGAAUUAAUACCGCAUAUGAUCAGUGAAGACAUCUUCACGACAUCAAAGCCGGGGCAACCUGGCGCUUCUUGAUGAGCCCGCGGCCUAUCAGCUAGUUGGUGAGGUAACGGCUCACCAAGGCUAUGACGGGUAGCUGGUCUGAGAGGACGACCAGUCACACUGGAACUGAGACACGGUCCAGACACCUACGGGUGGCAGCAGUCGAGUAAUUUUUCUCAAUGGGGCAACCCUGAAGGAGCGACGCCGCGU